GCAAACUUGGUCAUUUAGAGGAAGUAAAAGUCGUAACAAGGUCUCCGUUGGUGAACCAGCGGAGGGAUCAUUACCGAGUUGCAAAACUCCCAAAACCACUGUGAACAUACCACUGUUGCUUCGGCGGAUCCGCCCCGGGCGCCCUCCCCCUAGGGGGGGUGUGCCCCGGAACCAGGCGCCCGCCGGGGGACCGAAACCUCUGUAACUUUCAGUUGAGUACUCUGAGUGUGAUUUAUACAAUCAAAAUCAAAACUUUCAACAACGGAUCUCUUGGCUCUAGCAUCGAUGAAGAACGCAGC
This 299-nucleotide unclassified non-coding RNA is filed under the name uncultured fungus. RNAcentral's name for it is "partial contains small subunit ribosomal RNA, internal transcribed spacer 1, and 5.8S ribosomal RNA". The stretch from base 1 to 73 matches the Rfam family "Eukaryotic small subunit ribosomal RNA", at positions 1759 to 1831 of the family's 1831-position model. The record is from RNAcentral. Lineage: Eukaryota; Fungi.